GUCUUACUUUGAAAGAGAAAUUUCUAAGACAAAAUAACAUAUUUGCCUAAACGUUUGAUCUGGUUUGGAUAAUGAUCAUGGCAGAAUAAUUAUAGGUCGCAGAAGGAACAAUCAUUGCAGAUUUGUCGGGGCUUCAAAAAUUAUUGGUGUUGAUUUGAAUGCUACCAGAUGUAAGCUUGG
Nicotiana tabacum (common tobacco) is the source of this 180-nucleotide non-coding RNA. The record is from RefSeq and is a predicted model, not a curated record. Lineage: Eukaryota; Viridiplantae; Streptophyta; Magnoliopsida; Solanales; Solanaceae.